AUCAGUUGCAGGUCUAAUAUACCCCAAGCAAUCGGUUGGAUAAUCACAAUGACUGGAGUGGUUCAAAUGUUUUGGACACUAGAUGUCUUUCUACUGCAUAAAAUUCAGAAAGCUAAGGAUUAUGGCGCUGUCACAAGCCCGUCUUUGGAUGAUCAUGGGUCGCCAGCUAGAUGGGCUUGAAGGUUAUGGGAUUGCAAGAUUUCCUAAUCGAUAAGUAUGUUGACGAAUAUCUACAGAAGGAUUUGUGCAGAUCGAAGCAUUAUUGUUGCCGUCUGUGUUUUGCUUCGUCCGCCGCUUGCAGCUUCAUCGCUCAUGUAUAUCUUUCGCUCUUUCUACAAGGUAUGCUAGCUCUUCCUCUAGAUUCCUUUACGGGUGCUUGGCCUGGUUGUCUGCAUGGUCUGGUGCACAUUGCAGUUCAUGUGUUUCUUGUAAUGUAUGUGAGGUGACGAUCCUGUUGUAAGAGCUUAGGCUGUCUUCUGGCUUCGGUGGCGCAUAGAAGUAGUACAAUGAACGAUUGCUUUCGAAUGACCAUCUUUCUUACAUAAAGAGUUAAAACUGGACAAUAGUAACUCUAAGAACAAGUAACUUGUACACAUGAUCAUUUCAUUUGUGAACUAGGUGACAAUAUAUUCAGGUUUCAGAAGUAGAACUAGAAUCUAGGGAACUAACCUAUAGGUUAUGAAAAAGGACCAGAUAGUUAGUUGCAUCUGAAGGAGCACACUGUUUCUUUCAUAUGAUAGUAUACCAUGUCCUGGUUCCAUGUCCCUGCCACUUUAGUGAUUUUCCUAUUUCAAUUAUUCCAUUUUUUCAUUUCUCAAUAUUUUGUUCUAGGACCCCACGUAUUUCUUACAUAAGAAACGGAAGAAGCAAGUACUCCCCAGGAUCCCAUGUAUUAAUUUUUGGGUGGAAAAUCCAUGCAUGUUCAAUUAUUAAUCAAGUCAUUAUUUUGUAACUUGAAUGUGUAGGUUCUUCACGAAUUUCAGUCAGGACAAUCUGCUGACCAUAUAAACAUCAGAUAUCGCGCCACAUGCCACUAGCUCAAGAAGAGUCGCACCUUGAAAAGUGCUACUCCGAAUACUACUGUUAUGUGGCCAAGAUGACAAUUGCGUGUUCCUAAAAUGAGAUGAUAUAGGUAGAAGCAUACUGGUUUGAUUAAACUAAUGUAAAGUUGGAAACUUGGUGUUUGUUAUCAUUCCCUUCUGUGCAUGUCCUCAGAAUAUCAAAAAUCCAGUUGUUGGUGUCAUUUGAAUUAUAUUUGUGUGAUUUAAAAAGGAAACCUUAUGAACCAAGUAGUGCGCUGAUGAGGUUAAUAGGUUUUUAUGGACGUAAGAGGGAUAAGGUAUUCUCUCCAUACCUAAUCAUUUAUUUCUUCAUAAGUACAUUCUUUUUGGUGAUUCUAAUUAUUUAAGUGUGCCCGUAUCCACUAUUUUACAUUAUGGGACAGUUGAUCAAACGAAAACACAAUCAGCUUGCUGCUUUGUGUGUGGCGUUAAAUACCAAAUUAUCUGCACUCUUUUAAAAUUUUGUACAGUUGGGGUAACAAAACCACAAUCAGUCUGUUACUUUGUGUUGGUUAAAUACCGAAAUCACUGCAGACAUAUCAUGAUUAGCUGCUAUGUUUUGUUUGUUUUAGUUUGAGAUCACAGGCCAUUAAUGGUUUCUAAAGAUAAUUUCACCAAGAAUAGAAGGUUGGUGAUUCAGAUCAGAGGUCAGUGCGAACAUCAAUCACUACGUACGUGUUCAGCAUGUAUUGUUUAAGUGUGACGAUUAAAUCAUCAUACUAACAAUCACAGUGAUGAUGUAGGGUAUUUCUUUUGGACAAAUAGCAUAGUAUUGUCCAUUUGAGCAUCAUAUAUGGUAGUGAUACAGUGAAUUAUCUGAUACACUCUUAUACAUAGCAUUACUGCUGGUGCAUUAUUUAGGUGAGGAAAGCUUUCACCAUUUAUUUCUCUUCAUAUGAUCAUUUGCUACUAUGGUCUUUUGAGCUUUGAACUUGUAUGCUUUUGUUGAUUGGGGUAGGUUCAAAUGCAUCGUUGUUAAGUUAGGCAUGUCUCCCAUCUAUGGCCUCUGCAUGUACAUACCCUGUUCUAUUCUAUUUUUUUCUUGGGUGUGCAUUUAUCUCUAUCUAGGUACAGUAUAUUUUUCGAGUGAUACCAAUCUAUAAAAGUUACAAGUUAUCCUUAUCUGCCCAUGGUUAGAUUUUCCAGACCUGGCAUGUUUGUGUAAUUAGAGAAGAAAUAUCUUCUUUUUUUUCACUCCUACCCGUGAAUCCUUGCUGACUUUUCAUUUUCAGCUGGUUUAUAGAUCCUAAUAAAAAUUUGCACAUAGGCUAGAGUUAACAUUUCACGCAUCGACUUGUCAUGGUCUGCUAGCUUACAAAAAAAUAUUUUUUCUGAUAUGAUCAUUGUUAACCUAUUUGGCAAUUCAUAACUAUGAAGCUUCAGCUACAUAUUCGGAACAAGGUUAUAUUGAGGCUUGGACAUACCAGAGAUUAACCUGUCGAGAAGCAUGUAUAUACCAGGAAACCGAAGAAACAGCCUAGAAGCAUGCGUCUUGUCCAGGACGAGCACUGCACCUGCAAUGGAAAAUAUAAGCCACGUAUCUAGCACUGCCACAUGUAUCUAUGUUAGCUUCAACGAAAAACACUUAGUUAAUAUGGAGCACUCCUGGUCUACUGUAAUAUUAACAAUCCCUCUGUAAUUGUAACAAGUUCCUCUCUUGGUUUGCUAUCAUGGCUACUAUAGAGGGAUAAUAGUGUUUUCAUACAAUGUUGAGUUUAAUGCUACACCAUAUGCUUCGAAUCGAUACAUGGAUAUAUAGAUCCAGCAUGACUCAAUCAUUCUUGUAAGUGCAUAUCAGUACAGUUAACUGGUGCUUGCUAUCACCCUACGAUGCAGACUUGAAUGUACUUACAUAUAGGUUCUUUUUUACAUGCAGACU
Long non-coding RNA from Lolium perenne, 2940 nucleotides. RefSeq lists it as uncharacterized. NCBI's taxonomy places the organism in Eukaryota, Viridiplantae, Streptophyta, Magnoliopsida, Poales, Poaceae. The record is from RefSeq and is a predicted model, not a curated record.